GGGUGACUGCGUACCUUUUGUAUAAUGGGUCAGCGACUUAUAUUCUGUAGCAAGGUUAACCGUAUAGGGGAGCCGCAGGGAAACCGAGUCUUAACUGGGCGUUAAGUUGCAGGGUAUAGACCCGAAACCCGGUGAUCUAGCCAUGGGCAGGUUGAAGGUUGGGUAACACUAACUGGAGGACCGAACCGACUAAUGUUGAAAAAUUAGCGGAUGACUUGUGGCUGGGGGUGAAAGGCCAAUCAAACCGGGAGAUAGCUGGUUCUCCCCGAAAGCUAUUUAGGUAGCGCCUCGUGAACUCAUCUUCGGGGGUAGAGCACUGUUUCGGCUAGGGGGUCAUCCCGACUUACCAACCCGAUGCAAACUACGAAUACCGAAGAAUGUUAUCACGGGAGACACACGGCGGGUGCUAACGUCCGUCGUGAAGAGGGAAACAACCCAGACCGCCAGCUAAGGUCCCAAAGUCAUGGUUAAGUGGGAAACGAUGUGGGAAGGCCCAGACAGCCAGGAUGUUGGCUUAGAAGCAGCCAUCAUUUAAAGAAAGCGUAAUAGCUCACUGGUCGAGUCGGCCUGCGCGGAAGAUGUAACGGGGCUAAACCAUGCACCGAAGCUGCGGCAGCGACGCUUAUGCGUUGUUGGGUAGGGGAGCGUUCUGUAAGCCGUUGAAGGUGGCCUGUGAGGGUUGCUGGAGGUAUCAGAAGUGCGAAUGCUGACAUAAGUAACGAUAAUGCGGGUGAAAAACCCGCACGCCGGAAGACCAAGGGUUCCUGUCCAACGUUAAUCGGGGCAGGGUGAGUCGACCCCUAAGGCGAGGCCGAAAGGCGUAGUCGAUGGGAAACAGGUUAAUAUUCCUGUACUUGGUGUUACUGCGAAGGGGGGACGGAGAAGGCUAUGUUGGCCGGGCGACGGUUGUCCCGGUUUAAGCAUGUAGGCGGAUGUUCCAGGUAAAUCCGGAACGUUACUAACGCUGAGGUGUGAUGACGAGGCACUACGGUGCUGAAGUGACAAAUGCCCUGCUUCCAGGAAAAGCCUCUAAGCAUCAGGUAACAUCAAAUCGUACCCCAAACCGACACAGGUGGUCAGGUAGAGAAUACCAAGGCGCUUGAGAGAACUCGGGUGAAGGAACUAGGCAAAAUGGUGCCGUAACUUCGGGAGAAGGCACGCUGAUGGUAAGUGAAGUGACUUGCUCAUGGAGCUGAAAUCAGUCGAAGAUACCAGCUGGCUGCAACUGUUUAUUAAAAACACAGCACUGUGCAAACACGAAAGUGGACGUAUACGGUGUGACGCCUGCCCGGUGCCGGAAGGUUAAUUGAUGGGGUUAUCCUCGCGGAGAAGCUCUUGAUCGAAGCCCCGGUAAACGGCGGCCGUAACUAUAACGGUCCUAAGGUAGCGAAAUUCCUUGUCGGGUAAGUUCCGACCUGCACGAAUGGCGUAAUGAUGGCCAGGCUGUCUCCACCCGAGACUCAGUGAAAUUGAACUCGCUGUGAAGAUGCAGUGUACCCGCGGCAAGACGGAAAGACCCCGUGAACCUUUACUAUAGCUUGACACUGAACACUGGUCCUUGAUGUGUAGGAUAGGUGGGAGGCUUUGAAGUGUGGACGCCAGUCUGCAUGGAGCCGUCCUUGAAAUACCACCCUUUAAUGGCUGGUGUUCUAACGUGGGCCCCUAAUCGGGGUUGCGGACAGUGUCUGGUGGGUAGUUUGACUGGGGCGGUCUCCUCCUAAAGAGUAACGGAGGAGCACGAAGGUCAGCUAAUCCUGGUCGGACAUCAGGAGGUUAGUGCAAUGGCAUAAGCUGGCUUGACUGCGAGCGUGACGGCGCGAGCAGGUGCGAAAGCAGGUCAUAGUGAUCCGGUGGUUCUGAAUGGAAGGGCCAUCGCUCAACGGAUAAAAGGUACUCCGGGGAUAACAGGCUGAUACCGCCCAAGAGUUCAUAUCGACGGCGGUGUUUGGCACCUCGAUGUCGGCUCAUCACAUCCUGGGGCUGAAGUAGGUCCCAAGGGUAUGGCUGUUCGCCAUUUAAAGUGGUACGCGAGCUGGGUUUAGAACGUCGUGAGACAGUUCGGUCCCUAUCUGCCGUGGGCGCUGGAGAAUUGAGGGGGGCUGCUCCUAGUACGAGAGGACCGGAGUGGACGCAUCACUGGUGUUCGGGUUGUCAUGCCAAUGGCAUUGCCCGGUAGCUAAAUGCGGAAGAGAUAAGUGCUGAAAGCAUCUAAGCACGAAACUUGCCCCGAGAUGAGUUCUCCCUGACUCCUUGAGAGUCCUGAAGGAACGUUGAAGACGACGACGUUGAUAGGCCGGGUGUGUAAGCGCAGCGAUGCGUUGAGCUAACCGGUACUAAUGAACCGUGAGGCUUAACCUUACAACGCCGAAG
RNAcentral lists this ribosomal RNA (2370 nucleotides) under Klebsiella oxytoca. Its description in RNAcentral is "partial 23S ribosomal RNA". It matches the Rfam family "Bacterial large subunit ribosomal RNA", at positions 591 to 2925 of the family's 2925-position model. Lineage: Bacteria; Pseudomonadati; Pseudomonadota; Gammaproteobacteria; Enterobacterales; Enterobacteriaceae. The record is from RNAcentral.